RNAcentral lists this non-coding RNA (108 nucleotides) under pig gut metagenome. RNAcentral describes it as "FMN riboswitch (RFN element)". It matches the Rfam family "FMN riboswitch aptamer (RFN element)". Rfam says of the family: The RFN element is a highly conserved domain that is found frequently in the 5'-untranslated regions of prokaryotic mRNAs that encode for flavin mononucleotide (FMN) biosynthesis and transport proteins. This element is a metabolite-dependent riboswitch that directly binds FMN in the absence of proteins. The record is from RNAcentral.
UUUCUUCAGGGCAGGGUGUAAUUCCCUACCGGCGGUAAAGCCCGCGAGCCGUAAGGCAUGAUUCGGUGUAAUUCCGAAGCCGACAGUAUAGUCUGGAUGAGAGAAGAG